This 789-nucleotide ribosomal RNA is filed under the name uncultured Gammaproteobacteria bacterium. RNAcentral's name for it is "bacterial SSU rRNA". It matches the Rfam family "Bacterial small subunit ribosomal RNA", at positions 64 to 876 of the family's 1533-position model. Lineage: Bacteria; Pseudomonadati; Pseudomonadota; Gammaproteobacteria. The record is from RNAcentral.
GAGCGCCCCGCAAGGGGAGCGGCAGACGGGUGAGUAACGCGUGGGAAUCUACCCUUUUCUACGGAAUAACGCAGGGAAACUUGUGCUAAUACCGUAUAAGCCCUUCGGGGGAAAGAUUUAUUGGGAAAGGAUGAGCCCGCGUUGGAUUAGCUAGUUGGUGGGGUAAAGGCCUACCAAGGCGACGAUCCAUAGCUGGUCUGAGAGGAUGAUCAGUCACACUGGAACUGAGACACGGUCCAGACUCCUACGGGAGGCAGCAGUGGGGAAUAUUGGACAAUGGGCGAAAGCCUGAUCCAGCCAUGCCGCGUGUGUGAAGAAGGUCUUCGGAUUGUAAAGCACUUUAAGUUGGGAGGAAGGGCAUUAACCUAAUACGUUAGUGUUUUGACGUUACCAACAGAAUAAGCACCGGCUAACUUCGUGCCAGCAGCCGCGGUAAUACGAAGGGUGCAAGCGUUAAUCGGAAUUACUGGGCGUAAAGCGCGCGUAGGUGGUUCAGCAAGUUGGAUGUGAAAGCCCCGGGCUCAACCUGGGAACUGCAUCCAAAACUACUGAGCUAGAGUACGGUAGAGGGUGGUGGAAUUUCCUGUGUAGCGGUGAAAUGCGUAGAUAUAGGAAGGAACACCAGUGGCGAAGGCGACCACCUGGACUGAUACUGACACUGAGGUGCGAAAGCGUGGGGAGCAAACAGGAUUAGAUACCCUGGUAGUCCACGCCGUAAACGAUGUCAACUAGCCGUUGGAAUCCUUGAGAUUUUAGUGGCGCAGCUAACGCAUUAAGUUGACCGCCUGG